Molecule: unclassified non-coding RNA, 200 nt
Filed under: Hevea brasiliensis (rubber tree)
Lineage: Eukaryota; Viridiplantae; Streptophyta; Magnoliopsida; Malpighiales; Euphorbiaceae
Source: RNAcentral
CAGCAGGAAGGCCUGACGCGGAAGCGCCGUGAGAUUCGUAAGCCGCUGUUCGGAGGCCUGCGCAGGGCCCCUGUCGGCGCUCUCGUUCAAGGACACGGAAUUCCAGAUCUGCGUGAAAAGCCUGAACAANNNNNNNNNNUUUUCUUCCAGCAGCGAGGGGUCUUGCAGCAGGGCUUCAAGCAUGGCUGCGACAUAGGCAU